RNAcentral lists this long non-coding RNA (477 nucleotides) under Vulpes vulpes (red fox). RNAcentral describes it as "lncRNA (ENSVVUG00000025606.1)". The record is from RNAcentral. Lineage: Eukaryota; Metazoa; Chordata; Mammalia; Carnivora; Canidae.
UACUUUUGUACUGGUUUUUUGAAAGAGCUUACUGAUUAUGAUGUCACCUACUGAGGUUUGCCAUGUGGGUGGGAGAUCCAAAGGCCAGAGCAGGGUCAGGCAGGAUGGGUCUCCCUCUGGGUAAAGAGGUGGAAGGGCUACACAAAUUCUAUCUAGGGUUUUGCUGAUAAUAAAUGCAAGGAUGCCAAAACUUUGAGAGGAGCCAAUGAGGGCCUUUUCUAAGAUGACACAGUGACAGCCAUGUCAGGUGAUCAGUCGCCUGUGCUUUGCUCCUCCGUGCUCUCCAUUCCACUGGUUUCUAAUUUUGUGAACAUAGUGGUCCCAGCCACACUGAGCAUGGAAUCAAAUCUCUUCAAACAUAACUGUUACAGGGAACUAAUGUGUUUAACAUUGAAAGGACUUCCAGUUCACCAUCUACACGUGAAGAGCUUGGAAGCUGUCACUCCUAUCUUUACCAACGAAAGCCCUGCAAACUGA